GCCGGGGACCGCGGAGAGGUGGCAGAGCGGUUGAAUGUACCUGACUCGAAAUCAGGCAGGCGUUUAUAGCGCCUCGAGGGUUCGAAUCCCUCCCUCUCCGCCAACGAAUUCAAGGGGUUGUGCCCAUGGGCACAACCCCUUUUUCAUGGUCUUCGCCGAUCCGAGGGGGAUGGCC
Molecule: small RNA, 175 nt
Filed under: Pseudoxanthomonas suwonensis
Lineage: Bacteria; Pseudomonadati; Pseudomonadota; Gammaproteobacteria; Lysobacterales; Lysobacteraceae
Description: Proteobacterial sRNA sX4
Rfam family: Proteobacterial sRNA sX4
Source: Rfam by way of RNAcentral